UGCGUAGGCGGUUUGUUGAGUUCGAUGUGAAAGCCCUGGGCUCAACCUGGGAAUGGCAUCGAAGACUGGCAGACUGGAGUGCGGUAGAGGAUGGUGGAAUUCCCGGUGUAGCGGUGAAAUGCGUAGAGAUCGGGAGGAACACCAGUGGCGAAGGCGGCCAUCUGGACCAGCACUGACGCUGAGGCACGAAAGCUGGGGAGCAAACA
This 206-nucleotide ribosomal RNA is filed under the name uncultured bacterium. RNAcentral's name for it is "partial 16S ribosomal RNA". It matches the Rfam family "Bacterial small subunit ribosomal RNA", at positions 568 to 774 of the family's 1533-position model. The record is from RNAcentral.